Picea glauca (white spruce) is the source of this 121-nucleotide non-coding RNA. Lineage: Eukaryota; Viridiplantae; Streptophyta; Pinopsida; Pinales; Pinaceae. The record is from Rfam.
ACAUGCCUACAACAUAGCGUUAAUGCCCUUGAUCCCAUUAUAACUCCACAAUUAAGCGUGCUCAGGCUAGAGUAGUACUCGGAUGGGUGACCGCCUAGGAAGUCCUACUAUUUUUCAUGUC